AGCAGCCGCGGUAAUUCCAGCUCCAAUAGCGUAUAUUAAAGUUGUUGCAGUUAAAAAGCUCGUAGUUGAAUUUCGGAAUAAGCAGGUCGGUCGUGCUAUUGUGCGUACUGGUAUAAUCGGUUUCUCCUUUCUGACGAACUAUAAUGCCAUUAAUUUGGUGUUAUAGGGAAUCAGGACUGUUACUUUGAAAAAAU
This 194-nucleotide ribosomal RNA is filed under the name uncultured Glomus. RNAcentral describes it as "partial 18S ribosomal RNA". It matches the Rfam family "Eukaryotic small subunit ribosomal RNA", at positions 569 to 766 of the family's 1831-position model. The record is from RNAcentral. Lineage: Eukaryota; Fungi; Glomeromycota; Glomeromycetes; Glomerales; Glomeraceae.